This is a long non-coding RNA of Ornithorhynchus anatinus (platypus), 750 nucleotides long. RefSeq lists it as uncharacterized. The transcript has 2 exons. The record is from RefSeq and is a predicted model, not a curated record. Lineage: Eukaryota; Metazoa; Chordata; Mammalia; Monotremata; Ornithorhynchidae.
CACGGCUCUGACAGUUGCUAGUUUCACCCCGGCCACGGCGUCGUCGUUGGCGAGUCACAUCCCUAGAGAGUGGGACACGUGAAAUUCACAGCUGCGGAUUAAAAAUAGAAAACGGCCCUGGGUUUCAUUUUUGUUUUGGAAAAUUAAAUUAGCCCUCGUGAAGCUGCCAGCUUGAACAGCGCCCUGGGAAAUGGUGAUCUCCACGUUUCCACGGAGGAAGCGGCUGCGACUUGGGAUUCCCCCGAUCUCUCAAGAUGAGAAGGCAUUGUUUUUCGUUCGGCAGCGGAGACCGGUUUUACGGGGACAUAUCUCCAUCAACUUUUGAAAUGACUGCUGCGCUUUAAGCAAUCUGUCCUAGAGAGAUUAAGUAUUAGGUUGGUCUGCAUAUUGUCUUCUGAGAAAAGCUUUUCCACAGCAAUUGUCCAAGCAGUGCAUACACUUCAAGAGCUCUGUUGUUGGACAAAUCCGAUCACACAGCCUUUAGGAAAACAGAAAAGAAGACGCAAUUUUACGCAAAGAACGACCAACUCCAAGUGGCAGUGAGCUGUGGAUCCACAUAACGAAAGCAAAUCCACACAUAAAAAGAAACACCAUAUUUUCUUUGUUCAGAAUUGCUUUUUGUGUUGCGAAGGAAUUUAAUUAGCGCAGUUACGGGCAAAAUCCCUUAUUCAUGUAAAGAUUGAGGAUUUGAAGAAGGCGAGAUGACCGGCUAAUCCUAUACAAUAAGUAAACAUUUAUUUAUGACACUGC